CCUACGGGAGGCAGCAGUGGGGAAUAUUGCACAAUGGGGGAAACCCUGAUGCAGCGACGCCGCGUGAGUGAAGAAGUAUCUCGGUACGUAAAGCUCUAUCAGCAGGGAAGAAAAUGACGGUACCUGACUAAGAAGCCCCGGCUAACUACGUGCCAGCAGCCGCGGUAAUACGUAGGGGGCAAGCGUUAUCCGGAUUUACUGGGGGUAAAGGGAGCGUAGACGGCAGUACAAGUCUGGAGUGAAAUCCCGGGGCUUAACCCCGGAACUGCUUGUGAGACUGUGCGGCUGGAGUGCAGGAGGGGUAAGCGGAAUUCCGAGUGUAGCGGUGAAAUGCGUAGAUAUUAGGAGGAACACCGGUGGCGAAGGCGGCUUACUGGACUGUAACUGACGUUGAGGCUCGAAAGUGUGGGUAUCAAACAGGAUUAGAUACCCCAGUAGUC
RNAcentral lists this ribosomal RNA (440 nucleotides) under uncultured bacterium. Its description in RNAcentral is "partial 16S ribosomal RNA". It matches the Rfam family "Bacterial small subunit ribosomal RNA", at positions 338 to 795 of the family's 1533-position model. The record is from RNAcentral.